RNAcentral lists this non-coding RNA (174 nucleotides) under bovine gut metagenome. Its description in RNAcentral is "Lysine riboswitch". It matches the Rfam family "Lysine riboswitch aptamer". Rfam says of the family: Riboswitches are metabolite binding domains within certain messenger RNAs that serve as precision sensors for their corresponding targets. The record is from RNAcentral.
AAGUAGAGGCGCGAUUUAUCAAGAGUAACAAUUCAGAGUAUGUUGAUUUGCUAAGAAGAAUUGCAAAAGGGGUAAAUUGCCGAAAGAAAAUCUGAUUCAACUAUAAUUUUCUUGGGCGAAGUUAGAACAUAACUUCGACUGUCAUCGUUGAGCUAACGAUGGAGAACUAUUAAG